GACGGACGCUGGCGGCGUGCUUAACACAUGCAAGUCGAACGGAAAGGCCCCAGCUUGCUGGGGUACUCGAGUGGCGAACGGGUGAGUAACACGUGGGUGAUCUGCCCUGCACUCUGGGAUAAGCCUGGGAAACUGGGUCUAAUACCGGAUAGGACCGUGCUUUAGUGUGUGCGGUGGAAAGUUUUUCGGUGCAGGAUGAGCCCGCGGCCUAUCAGCUUGUUGGUGGGGUAAUGGCCUACCAAGGCGGCGACGGGUAGCCGGCCUGAGAGGGUGUACGGCCACAUUGGGACUGAGACACGGCCCAGACUCCUACGGGAGGCAGCAGUGGGGAAUAUUGCACAAUGGGCGCAAGCCUGAUGCAGCGACGCCGCGUGGGGGAUGACGGCCUUCGGGUUGUAAACCCCUUUCGGCAGGGACGAAGCUUUUGUGACGGUACCUGCAUAAGAAGCACCGGCUAACUACGU
Molecule: ribosomal RNA, 464 nt
Filed under: uncultured bacterium
Lineage: Bacteria
Description: partial 16S ribosomal RNA
Rfam family: Bacterial small subunit ribosomal RNA
Source: RNAcentral